CGUGAGGGAAAGGUGAAAAGAACCCCGGGAGGGGAGUGAAAGAGAACCUGAAACCAUAUGCCUACAAGAAGUCAGAGCCCGUUAAAGGGUGAUGGCGUGCCUUUUGUAGAAUGAACCGGCGAGUUACUGUAUGGAGCGAGGUUAAGCAGGAUAUGCGGAGCCGAAGCGAAAGCGAGUCUUAAGAGGGCGCGAGUUGCAUGCAGUAGACCCGAAACCGGGUGAUCUAGCCAUGACCAGGUUGAAGUUGGGGUAAAACCCGAUGGAGGACCGAACCGACCCCCGUUGAAACGUUGGCGGAUGAGUUGUGGCUAGGGGUGAAAUUCCAAUCGAACCCGGAGAUAGCUGGUUCUCCCCGAAAUAGCUUUAGGGCUAGCGUCGAGAGAAGAGUUGCGUGAAGGUAGAGCACUGAAUAUGUGAUGGCCCCAUCUCGGGGUACUGAGCAUAAUCAAACUGCGAAUGUCACGAGAACAUGCUCGGCAGUCAGACAGCGGGUGAUAAGGUCCGUUGUCAAGAGGGAAACAGCCCAGACCAUCAGCUAAGGUCCCAAAAUGUAUGCUAAGUGGAAAAGGAUGUGGAGAUGUACAGACAACUAGGAGGUUGGCUCAGAAGCAGCCAUCCUUUAAAGAGUGCGUAACAGCUCACUAGUCGAAUGACUCUGCGCCGAUAAUUUACCGGGGCUAAGCAUACUACCGAAGCUAUGGAUCCCAAGGGAUGGUAGGGGAGCGUUCCAUGAACGGAGAAGUACGACCGAAAGGACGUGUGGAGAUCAUGGAAGAGAGAAUGCCGGUGUGAGUAGCGGAACGUGGGUGAGAAUCCCACGCACCGAAAACCCAAGGUUUCCAGAGGAAGGUUCGUCCGCUCUGGGUAAGUCGGGACCUAAGGCGAGGCCGAAAGGCGUAGUCGAUGGACAACAGGUAGAGAUUCCUGUACCCGUAUAUAUGUGAAGGAAUGACGGAGAGAGGAAGCUGCAGCCAGCGGCUGGAAGAGCUGGUGCAAGCGAGAUAUCGGGAUGGCAGGCAAAUCCACCAUCCGAAACGAGAAGGCGUGAAGCGUACGGAAAGCUACGGCGAGUACGGAAGGCAGUGGAGGAACUUCCAAGAAAAGUUUCUAACGUUAAGUAUAUAUGGCCCGUACCGAAAAUGGACACACAUGGGUGAGGAGAGAAUCCUAAGGUGAGCGAGAGAACUAUAGCUAAGGAACUCUGCAAAAUGACUCCGUAACUUAGGGAGAAGGAGUGCUCAUAGAGAUAUGAGCCGCAGUGAAACGGCCCAAGCGACUGUUUACCAAAAACACAGCUCUCUGCUAAGCCGCAAGGCGAAGUAUAGGGGGUGACGCCUGCCCGGUGCUGGAAGGUUAAGGGGAGGGGUUAACGCAAGUGAAGCCCUGAACUGAAGCCCCAGUAAACGGCGGCCGUAACUAUAACGGUCCUAAGGUAGCGAAAUUCCUUGUCAGGUAAGUUCUGACCCGCACGAAAGGCGUAACGAUUUGGGCGCUGUCUCAGCUGUAGACUCGGUGAAGUCUUAGUACCUGUGAAGAUGCAGGUUACCCGCGACUAGACGGAAAGACCCCAUGGAGCUUCACUGCAGGUUGAUAUUGGGAUUUGAUGCAGCAUGUACAGGAUAGGUAGGAGGCAAAGAGAUGGAUACGCCAGUAUUCAAGGAGCCGCUGUUGGGAUACUACCCCUGUUGUAUUGGAUUUCUAACCGGACGACGUAGAGCCGUUGACGGGACAGUGUCAGUCGGGCAGUUUGACUGGGGCGGUCGCCUCCCAAAGAGUAACGGAGGCGCCCAAAGAUACCCUCAGCUUGGAUGGAAACCAAGCGCAGAGUGCAAAGGCAAAAGGGUGUUUGACUGCGAGACCCACAAGUCGAGCAGGGACGAAAGUCGGGCUUAGUGAUCCGGCGGUGCUGAAUGGAAAGGCCGUCGCUCAACGGAUAAAAGCUACCCUGGGGAUAACAGGCUGAUCUCCCCCAAGAGUCCACAUCGACGGGGAGGUUUGGCACCUCGAUGUCGGCUCGUCGCAUCCUGGGGCUGUAGUAGGUCCCAAGGGUUGGGCUGUUCGCCCAUUAAAGCGGUACGCGAGCUGGGUUCAGAACGUCGUGAGACAGUUCGGUCCCUAUCUGUCGUGGGCGCAGGAAAUUUGAGAAGAGCUGUCCUCAGUACGAGAGGACCGGGAUGGACGCAUCAAUGGUGGACCAGUUGUCACGCCAGUGGCAUAGCUGGGUAGCUAAAUGCGGAAGGGAUAAACGCUGAAGGCAUCUAAGUGUGAAACCCACUUCAAGAUGAGAUUUCCCAUUGC
This 2298-nucleotide ribosomal RNA is filed under the name human gut metagenome. Its description in RNAcentral is "bacterial LSU rRNA". It matches the Rfam family "Bacterial large subunit ribosomal RNA", at positions 502 to 2820 of the family's 2925-position model. The record is from RNAcentral.